RNAcentral lists this non-coding RNA (31 nucleotides) under Rattus norvegicus (Norway rat). Lineage: Eukaryota; Metazoa; Chordata; Mammalia; Rodentia; Muridae. The record is from RNAcentral.
UCCUACUUCAAGGAAUGCCACUCAAUUGGGU